ACUCAGAUCACGUAAUAUAUUAAUAGUCGAACAGACUUAAAAUUUUUAGCCUCUUCACCAAAAAUAAAAUAUUAAUUCAACAUCGAGGUCGCAAACUUAAAUUAUUAAUAAGAACUUACCAAAUAAAUUACGCUGUUAUCCCUAGAGUAACUUAAAUCAAAUAAAAUUUCUUUUAAUAAAAAUCUUUAUCUUUAAUAAUUGCCCCAAUUUAAAAAGCUUCCUUUUAAAGCUUCUAGGGUCUUCUCGUCCCAAGAUUAUAUAAAAGUAUUCUUACUUUUAAUCUAAAUUCAAAUUCAUAAAAUAAAACCUCCUUAUUAGUAUCUACCCUUCAUCCCAGUUUCCAAUUAAAAAA
This 352-nucleotide ribosomal RNA is filed under the name Discocyrtanus oliverioi. RNAcentral describes it as "partial large subunit ribosomal RNA". Lineage: Eukaryota; Metazoa; Arthropoda; Arachnida; Opiliones; Gonyleptidae. The record is from RNAcentral.